This 255-nucleotide ribosomal RNA is filed under the name uncultured bacterium. Its description in RNAcentral is "partial 16S ribosomal RNA". It matches the Rfam family "Bacterial small subunit ribosomal RNA", at positions 524 to 776 of the family's 1533-position model. The record is from RNAcentral.
UACGGGGGGGGGCAAGCGUUGUUCGGAAUUAUUGGGCGUAAAGGGCGCGUAGGCGGCUUGGCAAGUGGAAGGUGAAAUCCCUCGGCUUAACCGAGGAACUGCCCUCCAAACUGCUUUGCUUGAGGCCGGGAGAGGUGAGUGGAAUUCCUGGUGUAGCGGUGAAAUGCGCAGAUAUCAGGAGGAACACCGAUGGCGAAGGCAGAUCUCUGGGCCGUAACUGACGCUGGAGGAGCGAAAGCGUGGGGAGCAAACAGG